RNAcentral lists this long non-coding RNA (1418 nucleotides) under Citrus x clementina. RNAcentral's name for it is "Citrus clementina (C. clementina) long non-coding RNA (CCLE_LNC002178)". The record is from RNAcentral. Lineage: Eukaryota; Viridiplantae; Streptophyta; Magnoliopsida; Sapindales; Rutaceae.
CAAAAACGGGUGGGCUAUAGCCUUGGGGGGUGGGGCUGGCCAACUUCGUCCGCCGGACUCGGAAUGGCGUGAGACUUUGCGAGGCACUCCGUGUGCCAAAAAUAGGCCGCGGGCACAGCCGCAUCCAAAAAUAACCUCCCGAAGGCCGGGGCGCCAAGUUCGUCCAGCGGAAAAAGCCCACAAAAACGGAUGGGCUAUAGCUUUGGGGGGUGGGGCCGGCCAACUUCGUCCGCCGGACUCGGAAUGGCGCGAGGCAUUGCGAGGCACCUCCGUGUGCCAAAAAUAGGCCAUGAGUAAAGCCGCGCCCAAAAAUAACCACCCGAAGGCCGGGGCGCCAAGUUCGUCCAGCGGAAAAAGCCCACAAAAACAGGUGGGCUAUAGCCUUGGGGUGUGGGGCUGGCCAACUACGUCCGCCGGACUCGGAGUGGCGCGAGACUUUGCGAGGCACCUCCGUGUGCCAAAAAUAAGCUGCGGGCACAGCCGCAUCCAAAAAUAACCUCCCGAAGGCCGGGGCGCCAAGUUCGUCCAGCGGAAAAAGCCCACAAAAACGGGUGGGCUAUAGCCUUGGGGGGUGGGGCUGGCCAACUUCGUCCGCCGGACUCGGAAUGGCGCGAGACUUUGCGAGGCGCCUCCGUGUGCCAAAAAUAGGCCAUGGGCAAAGCCGCGCCCAAAAAUAACCGCCCGAAGGCCGGGGCGCCAAGUUCGUCCAGCGGAAAAAGGCCACAAAAACGGGUGGGCUAUAGGCUUGGGGGGUGGGGCUGGCCAACUUCGUCCGCCGGACUCGGAAUGGCGCGAGACUUUGCGAGGCACCUGCGUGUGCCAACAAUAGGCCACGAGCAAAUCGGCGCCCAAAAAUAACCGCCCGAAGGCCGGGGCGCCAAGUUCGUCCAGUGGAAAAAGGCCACAAAAACGGGUGGGCUAUAGCCUUGGGGGGUGGGGCUGGCCAACUUCGUCCGCCGGACUCGGAAUGGCGUGAAACCUUGCGAGGUGCCUCCGUGUGCCAAAAAUAGGCCGCGGGCACAGCCGCGUCCAAAAAUAACCACCCGAAGGCCGGGGCGCCAAGUUCGUCCAGCGGAAAAAGCCCACAAAAACAGGUGGGCUAUAGCCUUGGGGUGUGGGGCUGGCCAACUACGUCCGCCGGACUCGGAAUGGCGCGAGACAUUGCGAGGCACCUCCGUGUGCCAAAAAUAGGCUGCGGGCACAGCCGCGUCCAAAAAUAAUCUCCCGAAGGCCGGGGCGCCAAGUUCGUCCAGCGGAAAAAGCCCACAAAAACGGGUGGGCAAUAGCCUUGGGGGGUGGGGCUGGCCAACUUCGUCCGUCGGACUCGGAAUGGCGCGAGACUUUGCGAGGCGCCUACGUGUGCCCAAAAUAGGCCGCAGGCAAAGCCGCGCCCAAAAAUAACCGCCCGAAGGCCGGGG